This 292-nucleotide ribosomal RNA is filed under the name uncultured bacterium. Its description in RNAcentral is "partial 16S ribosomal RNA". It matches the Rfam family "Bacterial small subunit ribosomal RNA", at positions 505 to 796 of the family's 1533-position model. The record is from RNAcentral.
GUGUCAGCAGCCGCGGUAAUACAGAGGUGGCAAGCGUUGUUCGGAAUUACUGGGCGUAAAGGGCGCGUAGGCGGCCUUCUAAGUCGGACGUGAAAGCCCCAGGCUUAACCUGGGAACUGCGUCCGAUACUGGGAGGCUUGGAUUCGGGAGAGGGAUGUGGAAUUCCAGGUGUAGCGGUGAAAUGCGUAGAUAUCUGGAGGAACACCGGUGGCGAAGGCGGCAUCCUGGACCGACAUCGACGCUGAGGCGCGAAAGCUAGGGGAGCAAACGGGAUUAGAUACCCCGGUAGUCC